RNAcentral lists this ribosomal RNA (484 nucleotides) under uncultured bacterium. Its description in RNAcentral is "partial 16S ribosomal RNA". It matches the Rfam family "Bacterial small subunit ribosomal RNA", at positions 30 to 507 of the family's 1533-position model. The record is from RNAcentral.
AUUGAACGCUGGCGGCAGGCCUAACACAUGCAAGUCGAGCGGAUGAAGGGAGCUUGCUCCUGGAUUCAGCGGCGGACGGGUGAGUAAUGCCUAGGAAUCUGCCUGGUAGUGGGGGAUAACGUCCGGAAACGGGCGCUAAUACCGCAUACGUCCUGAGGGAGAAAGUGGGGGAUCUUCGGACCUCACGCUAUCAGAUGAGCCUAGGUCGGAUUAGCUAGUUGGUGGGGUAAAGGCCUACCAAGGCGACGAUCCGUAACUGGUCUGAGAGGAUGAUCAGUCACACUGGAACUGAGACACGGUCCAGACUCCUACGGGAGGCAGCAGUGGGGAAUAUUGGACAAUGGGCGUAAGCCUGAUCCAGCCAUGCCGCGUGUGUGAAGAAGGUCUUCGGAUUGUAAAGCACUUUAAGUUGGGAGGAAGGGCAGUAAGUUAAUACCUUGCUGUUUUGACGUUACCAACAGAAUGAGCACCGGCUAACUUCGUG